GUUGGCUUAGAAGCAGCCAUCAUUUAAAGAAAGCGUAAUAGCUCACUGGUCGAGUCGGCCUGCGCGGAAGAUGUAACGGGGCUAAACCAUGCACCGAAGCUGCGGCAGCGACGCUGAUGCGUUGUUGGGUAGGGGAGCGUUCUGUAAGCCUGCGAAGGUGACCUGUGAGGGUUGCUGGAGGUAUCAGAAGUGCGAAUGCUGACAUAAGUAACGAUAAAGCGGGUGAAAAGCCCGCUCGCCGGAAGACCAAGGGUUCCUGUCCAACGUUAAUC
Molecule: ribosomal RNA, 272 nt
Filed under: Salmonella enterica
Lineage: Bacteria; Pseudomonadati; Pseudomonadota; Gammaproteobacteria; Enterobacterales; Enterobacteriaceae
Description: partial 23S ribosomal RNA
Rfam family: Bacterial large subunit ribosomal RNA
Source: RNAcentral